AUUGAACGCUGGCGGCAGGCCUAACACAUGCAAGUCGAGCGGUUGAGGUAGCUUGCUACCGAUACAGCGGCGGACGGGUGAGUAAUGCAUGGGAAUCUGCCUGGUAGUGGGGGACAACGUUUCGAAAGGAACGCUAAUACCGCAUACGCCCUACGGGGGAAAGGGGGGGAUCUUCGGACCUCUCGCUAUCAGAUGAGCCCAUGUCAGAUUAGCUAGUUGGUGGGGUAAAGGCCUACCAAGGCGACGAUCUGUAACUGGUCUGAGAGGAUGAUCAGUCACACUGGAACUGAGACACGGUCCAGACUCCUACGGGAGGCAGCAGUGGGGAAUAUUGGACAAUGGGCGAAAGCCUGAUCCAGCCAUGCCGCGUGUGUGAAGAAGGCCCUAGGGUUGUAAAGCACUUUCAGUGGGGAGAAAGGCCUUUUACUUAAUACGUAAGAGGAUUGAUGUUACCCACAGAAGAAGCACCGGCUAACUCCGUGCCAGCCGCCGCAGUAA
Molecule: ribosomal RNA, 498 nt
Filed under: uncultured bacterium
Lineage: Bacteria
Description: partial 16S ribosomal RNA
Rfam family: Bacterial small subunit ribosomal RNA
Source: RNAcentral